RNAcentral lists this ribosomal RNA (424 nucleotides) under uncultured bacterium. RNAcentral's name for it is "bacterial SSU rRNA". It matches the Rfam family "Bacterial small subunit ribosomal RNA", at positions 357 to 773 of the family's 1533-position model. The record is from RNAcentral.
GGGAAUAUUGGACAAUGGGCGCAAGCCUGAUCCAGCCAUGCCGCGUGUGUGAAGAAGGCCUUCGGGUUGUAAAGCACUUUCAGCGGGGAGGAAGGGUGUUGUGUUAAUAGCACAGCAUUUUGACGUUACCCGCAGAAGAAGCACCGGCUAACUCCGUGCCAGCAGCCGCGGUAAUACGGAGGGUGCAAGCGUUAAUCGGAAUUACUGGGCGUAAAGCGCACGUAGGCGGUAUGUUAAGUUGGAUGUGAAAGCCCCGGGCUCAACCUGGGAAUUGCAUUCAAAACUGGCAUGCUAGAGUAUGUGAGAGGGGGGUAGAAUUCCAAGUGUAGCGGUGAAAUGCGUAGAGAUUUGGAGGAAUACCAGUGGCGAAGGCGGCCCCCUGGCACAAUACUGACGCUCAGGUGCGAAAGCGUGGGGAGCAAAC